This 320-nucleotide ribosomal RNA is filed under the name Rhizophagus irregularis. The record is from RNAcentral. Lineage: Eukaryota; Fungi; Glomeromycota; Glomeromycetes; Glomerales; Glomeraceae.
CAGUCGUACCUUCGGGUAAUCAGCCUUUCGAGUGCGAUUCUGUGGAGUGUGAGGAGCUAAACACCUUCAUGCCUGCAUAUUCGUGCUCUUGGGUGUACUUGCUCGUGUGGUUGGUUAACAUCAAUUUCGGACGCCAUAAAAUGGCUAGAGGAAUGUAGCUUCGAUCUCGUAUUGAAGUGUUACAGCCUUCGGUAGAUGUGAUGAUCAGGAUUGAGGAUUGCAACGGAUACCCUUCGGGGCUACUUGUCUGAUCUCUGAUUGUUGCUCUGGUGCUGAAAGCUUGCUUAUGGCUAUCAGAAUCGAUGGUCAAUAGGUUAGAA